GACGAACGCUGGCGGCGCGCUUAACACAUGCAAGUCGAGCGAAGCGGCGGACGGGUGAGUAACACGUGAGUAACCUGCCUUAGACAUUGGGAUAGCCUCGGGAAACCGGGAUUAAUACCAAAUGGUCUAAGAUGGACUCGCGUCCCAUUAGCUAGUUGGUGAGGUAACGGCCCACCAAGGCGACGAUGGGUAGCCGGCCUGAGAGGGUAAACGGCCACAUUGGAACUGAGAAACGGUCCAAACUCGACGGGACGCAGCAGUGGGGAAUGUUGCACAAUGGAGGGAUCUCUGAUGCAGCGACGCCGCUUGAACGAAGUAAGCUUUCAAGUCGUAAAGUUCUUUUAUAUGGGAAGCGGUACCAUAAGAAAAAGCCCCGGCUAACUACGUGCCAGCAGCCGCGGUAUUC
RNAcentral lists this ribosomal RNA (406 nucleotides) under uncultured bacterium. RNAcentral describes it as "partial 16S ribosomal RNA". It matches the Rfam family "Bacterial small subunit ribosomal RNA", at positions 28 to 525 of the family's 1533-position model. The record is from RNAcentral.